This 91-nucleotide transfer RNA is filed under the name Candidatus Dormiibacterota bacterium. RNAcentral describes it as "tRNA-Leu". The stretch from base 24 to 88 matches the Rfam family "tRNA". From Rfam's summary of the family: Transfer RNA (tRNA) molecules are approximately 80 nucleotides in length. Their secondary structure includes four short double-helical elements and three loops (D, anti-codon, and T loops). Further hydrogen bonds mediate the characteristic L-shaped molecular structure. tRNAs have two regions of fundamental functional importance: the anti-codon, which is responsible for specific mRNA codon recognition, and the 3' end, to which the tRNAs corresponding amino acid is attached (by aminoacyl-tRNA synthetases). tRNAs cope with the degeneracy of the genetic code in two manners: having more than one tRNA (with a specific anti-codon) for a particular amino acid; and 'wobble' base-pairing, i.e. permitting non-standard base-pairing at the 3rd anti-codon position. The record is from RNAcentral. Lineage: Bacteria; Bacillati; Candidatus Dormiibacterota.
GCGCCGUCAGUGAUCUUGGCGGAUCGCCCGUGACAGCGGCGCUUGCCUGCGGAGCAAGAGGCAGCAGGUUCAAUUCCUGCCAGGCGCACCA